CUUUGGUGAUUUAGCUGUAUG
This 21-nucleotide microRNA is filed under the name Panagrellus redivivus. RNAcentral describes it as "prd-miR-9b-5p". Its record names the gene prd-miR-9b-5p. Lineage: Eukaryota; Metazoa; Nematoda; Chromadorea; Rhabditida; Panagrolaimidae. The record is from miRBase by way of RNAcentral.